UUUGCACCUGAGGCUUGCGAGGAUGAGAACCUCCGGGGGGCAGAGGUUCGACUCGAGCGAAGCGAGAGAACGUUGCGUCAGCAACGGCCCGAAGGGCGAGCCACGGAGUGGCGAGUCAUCCUCUAUCACUGACCA
RNAcentral lists this small RNA (135 nucleotides) under Leclercia pneumoniae. RNAcentral's name for it is "Leclercia sp. 4-9-1-25 RtT sRNA". It matches the Rfam family "RtT RNA". From Rfam's summary of the family: This family represents a bacterial cis-regulatory element known as RtT RNA. The exact function of RtT is unknown although it is thought that it may be involved in changing the cellular response in relation to amino acid starvation. The record is from RNAcentral. Lineage: Bacteria; Pseudomonadati; Pseudomonadota; Gammaproteobacteria; Enterobacterales; Enterobacteriaceae.